This 363-nucleotide ribosomal RNA is filed under the name Enterobacter hormaechei. Its description in RNAcentral is "partial 23S ribosomal RNA". It matches the Rfam family "Bacterial large subunit ribosomal RNA", at positions 890 to 1251 of the family's 2925-position model. The record is from RNAcentral. Lineage: Bacteria; Pseudomonadati; Pseudomonadota; Gammaproteobacteria; Enterobacterales; Enterobacteriaceae.
UCAUCUUCGGGGGUAGAGCACUGUUUCGGCUAGGGGGCCAUCCCGGCUUACCAACCCGAUGCAAACUACGAAUACCGAAGAAUGUUAUCACGGGAGACACACGGCGGGUGCUAACGUCCGUCGUGAAGAGGGAAACAACCCAGACCGCCAGCUAAGGUCCCAAAGUCAUGGUUAAGUGGGAAACGAUGUGGGAAGGCACAGACAGCCAGGAUGUUGGCUUAGAAGCAGCCAUCAUUUAAAGAAAGCGUAAUAGCUCACUGGUCGAGUCGGCCUGCGCGGAAGAUGUAACGGGGCUAAACCAUGCACCGAAGCUGCGGCAGCGACACUAUGUGUUGUUGGGUAGGGGAGCGUUCUGUAAGCCGU